RNAcentral lists this ribosomal RNA (465 nucleotides) under uncultured bacterium. Its description in RNAcentral is "partial 16S ribosomal RNA". It matches the Rfam family "Bacterial small subunit ribosomal RNA", at positions 338 to 795 of the family's 1533-position model. The record is from RNAcentral.
CCUACGGGAGGCAGCAGUAGGGAAUCUUCCACAAUGGGCGAAAGCCUGAUGCAGCAACGCCGCGUGGGUGAAGAAGGUCUUCGGAUCGUAAAACCCUGUUGUUAGAGAAGAAAGUGCGUGAGAGUAACUGUUCACGUUUCGACGGUAUCUAACCAGCAAGCCACGGCUAACUACGUGCCAGCAGCCGCGGUAAGACGUAGGUGGCAAGCGUUAUCCGGAUUUAUUGGGCGUAAAGGGAACGCAGGCGGUCUUUUAAGUCUGAUGUGAAAGCCUUCGGCUUAACCGGAGUAGUGCAUUGGAAACUGGGAGACUUGAGUGCAGAAGAGGAGAGUGGAACUCCAUGUGUAGCGGUGAAAUGCGUAGAUAUAUGGAAGAACACCAGUGGCGAAAGCGGCUCUCUGGUCUGUAACUGACGCUGAGGUUCGAAAGCGUGGGUAGCAAACAGGAUUAGAUACCCGUGUAGUC